GCUCCAGAGUACAGACACAUACCCUUCAACAACUACAUGCACCUGGGUGCUCUUCUGCAAGUGUCUGUUUUUUUGGUUCUCUAUGCUGAAUAUUCUUGAGGCAAAUUACCAAUACAAAAAAAAUAAUUAAAAGUAAACUUUGGAUUUAUUGAUGACAUGGUGUUGUUCCAAAGGUUGGUUGGUGUGUGUGUGUGUGUGUGUGGCUGUGAGAGAGGGGUGAUAUCUUAAUUGCAGCACUUUGGCAUGUACAGUUAAAAAAAAUUCCGAUCAGUGUGUUAUUUUAACCGGUCAUGAGUAUUCCCCCACAGCUCCUGGAGGGACAACAAUGACGUGGACUAGGCCUCACUCAGAUAGGCUGUUCCACAUUACUAGGUCUCACUUAGAUAGGCUGUUCCACAUUACUAGCUUAACCACCACAUAAGUUAGCUGGAUGAUGAUUUAACAAAAAAUAUGUGCCACGUUUUAAAUCCAUGAAAAUUUUAAACCUUUAAAAAAAAAAAAAAAAGAAUAAUAUAAACCACCUACAAUAAAAAUCCCACAGCACAUAUAGACAGAUAUAGACCAGAAACGAUUGGCCAUCUCUGAACUAAUAACUAGGAGUCAGUUACCUUUAUAUUCCCGUUCAAGUUAAAAGCAACCACCCAGCCAGAAUCUCCCUGAUGUGGGGACGUUAGCAUUAGGAGUAGCAUUUCAGACCGUUUGUGGUCAUGCUCUCUCUUUUAAACAUACUGAACAACUCUCCAUUUCUCGAGCACAUUAUAACGGCCAUAGUUUAUUCUUUUUGCAACAUAUGACUUUUCACUAGUCGUCUCAUUUCCUACAAAUAUUUGAAGAGAUCGCUAUAUUCUAUGUCAGUGGUUAACUGAAGAGGAGUCAUGUGCAGAUUUUUCAAACCCCCUACUAAACAUUUCAAAGCCAAAUUUGGAAAUAAGCUUAACAAUGAUGUUAUCUGAUGAUGAUGGUGGUGUCACUCUCAAAUAUUUUUCAUUUAUUUUUAAUAUAGCUGCAAGGUUUCAAAUAACCUUAGCUUAGUCAUCAUGCUUCAUACCGCAGACCUAUGUAUUUUGCUGAUAUCUAAUACUCAUAACAACAGGUUAUUCAGUUCUAUCCAGUUCAGAUGGUGUACAUUACAAGUAAGACACAAAAGAAAUUGGUGUCUUAGAAAUAGCAACCGGUCUCUUUCUAUGCAUGUAAUGUUUCUAUGUGUAAUUUUGAUCAAUAAUAGCUUUCGGAGAUCACAAGGGGGGGCGAUAUAAAAUCUAGGCCUUCUAUAGUUAUUACUAAGUUACUAAGGUGAUACCAUCCCCGUGCUGCUGCUGGAUGUUUUCGGCAAGUAAAUGAAGCUGACGUUACGGCGGAUAAAUGUAUUGGAGAGUUUUGGGGGAAAGGGCAGAAGAGGCCAUGCUUGGAGGGAUAUGCAGAAGGGGCCAUUUUUGAAGGGAUAU
This is a long non-coding RNA of Clupea harengus (Atlantic herring), 1445 nucleotides long. The record is from Ensembl. NCBI's taxonomy places the organism in Eukaryota, Metazoa, Chordata, Actinopteri, Clupeiformes, Clupeidae.